This 164-nucleotide ribosomal RNA is filed under the name uncultured bacterium. Its description in RNAcentral is "partial 16S rRNA". It matches the Rfam family "Bacterial small subunit ribosomal RNA", at positions 355 to 511 of the family's 1533-position model. The record is from RNAcentral.
UAGGGAAUCUUCCACAAUGGGCGCAAGCCUGAUGGAGCAACGCCGCGUGAGUGAAGAAGGUCUUCGGAUCGUAAAACUCUGUUGUUAGAGAAGAACAUGCAGGAGAGUAACUGUUCUUGUAUUGACGGUACCUAACCAGAAAGCCACGGCUAACUACGUGCCAG